UUCUAGUAGCCAUAAUUUUCUCCUGUGAAAAUAAGUGUUCUAUUAUACGCUCCUUUAGGUUCGGUAACCAUUAUCCAAUAAGAAACUUUUUAGACAGGAAACUCUAAGACCCCAAUUUUGACCCUAAGAUCCCUCAUGGCAUCAUAACAUUGCAUUUGCAUAGCCUCAAGGAUCAUGAGCAUCUUGGUUCCCUUUGCCUUU
This 201-nucleotide long non-coding RNA is filed under the name Lathyrus oleraceus (garden pea). RNAcentral's name for it is "Pisum sativum (pea) long non-coding RNA (PSAT_LNC011392)". The record is from RNAcentral. Lineage: Eukaryota; Viridiplantae; Streptophyta; Magnoliopsida; Fabales; Fabaceae.